Molecule: transfer RNA, 73 nt
Filed under: Erinaceus europaeus (western European hedgehog)
Lineage: Eukaryota; Metazoa; Chordata; Mammalia; Eulipotyphla; Erinaceidae
Rfam family: tRNA
About the family: Transfer RNA (tRNA) molecules are approximately 80 nucleotides in length.
Source: Rfam by way of RNAcentral
GGCAGAAUGGCUCACUUGGAGAGUGCACAGCUUUGACCUGUGUGUGACCUAGGUUCAAGUCCAGGCCUUACCA